Molecule: ribosomal RNA, 447 nt
Filed under: uncultured bacterium
Lineage: Bacteria
Description: bacterial SSU rRNA
Rfam family: Bacterial small subunit ribosomal RNA
Source: RNAcentral
UCGGGAAUAUUGGACAAUGGGCGCAAGCCUGAUCCAGCCAUGCCGCGUGAGUGACGAAGGUCUUCGGAUUGUAAAGCUCUUUUACCAGGGACGAUAAUGACGGUACCUGGAGAAUAAGCCCCGGCUAACUUCGUGCCAGCAGCCGCGGUAAUACGAAGGGGGCUAGCGUUGUUCGGAAUUACUGGGCGUAAAGCGCACGUAGGCGGAUUUGUAAGUCAGGGGUGAAAUCCCGGGGCUCAACCUCGGAACUGCCUUUGAUACUGCAAGUCUCGAGUCCGAUAGAGGUGAGUGGAAUUCCUAGUGUAGAGGUGAAAUUCGUAGAUAUUAGGAAGAACACCAGUGGCGAAGGCGGCUCACUGGAUCGGUACUGACGCUGAGGUGCGAAAGCGUGGGGAGCAAACAGGAUUAGAUACCCACGUAGUCCCUGAGCGGGCUGGCAAGGCGCAU